AUUGAACGCUGGCGGCAUGCCUAACACAUGCAAGUCGAACGGCAGCACGGCAGUAGCGGAAUACGUGUGGGUGGCGAGUGGCGGACGGGUGAGGAAUACGUCGGAAUCUGCCCAGUCGUGGGGGAUAACUAGCCGAAAGGUUAGCUAAUACCGCAUACGACCGAGAGGUGAAAGCGGGGGACCGCAAGGCCUCGCGCGAUUGGAUGAGCCGACGUCGGAUUAGCUAGUUGGUGGGGUAAAGGCCCACCAAGGCGACGAUCCGUAGCUGGUCUGAGAGGAUGAUCAGCCACACUGGAACUGAGACACGGUCCAGACUCCUACGGGAGGCAGCAGUGGGGAAUAUUGGACAAUGGGCGCAAGCCUGAUCCAGCAAUGCCGCGUGUGUGAAGAAGGCCUGGUG
This 400-nucleotide ribosomal RNA is filed under the name uncultured bacterium. RNAcentral's name for it is "bacterial SSU rRNA". It matches the Rfam family "Bacterial small subunit ribosomal RNA", at positions 29 to 421 of the family's 1533-position model. The record is from RNAcentral.